GUAGGGAAUAUUGGACAAUGGGGGGAACCCUGAUCCAGCCAUGCCGCGUGGAGGAAGACUGCCCUCUGGGUUGUAAACUCCUUUUAUAUGGGAAGAACCGUGCUCAUUAAUGAGUGACCUGACGGUACCAUAGGAAUAAGCACCGGCUAACUCCGUGCCAGCAGCCGCGGUAAUCCGGAGGGUGCAAGCGUUAUCCGGAUUCACUGGGUUUAAAGGGUGCGUAGGCGGAUAAAUACGUCAGUGGUGAAAUCAACGGGCUCAACCUGUUAACUGCCAUUGAUACUGUGUAUCUUGAAUAUGAGAGAGGUAGGCGGAAUGUUGCAUGUAGCGGUGAAAUGCUUAGAUAUGCUACGGAACACCGAUUGCGAAGGCAGCUUACUAUUUCGUAAUUGACGCUGAGGCACGAAAGCGUGGGUAGCGAACAGGAUUAGAAACCCAGUAGUCC
RNAcentral lists this ribosomal RNA (445 nucleotides) under uncultured bacterium. RNAcentral's name for it is "partial 16S ribosomal RNA". It matches the Rfam family "Bacterial small subunit ribosomal RNA", at positions 354 to 796 of the family's 1533-position model. The record is from RNAcentral.